GAUGAACGCUGGCGGCGUGCUUAACACAUGCAAGUCGAACGAUGAAGCCCAGCUUGCUGGGUGGAUUAGUGGCGAACGGGUGAGUAACACGUGAGCAACCUGCCCCCGACUCUGGGAUAAGCGCUGGAAACGGCGUCUAAUACUGGAUAUGUCCCGUCACCGCAUGGUGUGCGGGUGGAAAGAUUUUUCGGUUGGGGAUGGGCUCGCGGCCUAUCAGCUUGUUGGUGAGGUAAUGGCUCACCAAGGCGUCGACGGGUAGCCGGCCUGAGAGGGUGACCGGCCACACUGGGACUGAGACACGGCCCAGACUCCUACGGGAGGCAGCAGUGGGGAAUAUUGCACAAUGGGCGGAAGCCUGAUGCAGCAACGCCGCGUGAGGGAUGACGGCCUUCGGGUUGUAAACCUCUUUUAGCAGGGAAGAAGCGAAAGUGACGGUACCUGCAGAAAAAGCACCGGCUAACUACGUG
RNAcentral lists this ribosomal RNA (467 nucleotides) under uncultured bacterium. RNAcentral describes it as "partial 16S ribosomal RNA". It matches the Rfam family "Bacterial small subunit ribosomal RNA", at positions 28 to 507 of the family's 1533-position model. The record is from RNAcentral.